GGGGGCAUAGCUCAGCUGGGAGAGCGCUUGAAUGGCAUUCAAGAGGUCGGGGGUUCAAGUCCCCUUGUCUCCACCA
This 76-nucleotide transfer RNA is filed under the name Acholeplasmataceae bacterium. Its description in RNAcentral is "tRNA-Ala". It matches the Rfam family "tRNA". From Rfam's summary of the family: Transfer RNA (tRNA) molecules are approximately 80 nucleotides in length. Lineage: Bacteria; Bacillati; Mycoplasmatota; Mollicutes; Acholeplasmatales; Acholeplasmataceae. RNAcentral also lists the same sequence under 1 other name. The record is from RNAcentral.